UAGUACGAGAGGACCGGAGUGGACGCACCUCUGGUGUAUCGGUUGUCACGCCAGUGGCAUUGCCGAGUAGCUAUGUGCGGAAGAGAUAACCGCUGAAAGCAUCUAAGCGGGAAACUCGUCUCAAGAUGAGUCUUGCCGGGGCCUUGAGCCCCCUGAAGAGUCGUUCGAGACCAGGACGUUGAUAGGCCGGGUGUGGAAGCGUAGUAAUGCGUUAAGCUAACCGGUACUAAUUGCUCGUGAGGCUUGACCCU
RNAcentral lists this ribosomal RNA (251 nucleotides) under Piscinibacter sp. RNAcentral describes it as "partial 23S ribosomal RNA". It matches the Rfam family "Bacterial large subunit ribosomal RNA", at positions 2679 to 2925 of the family's 2925-position model. The record is from RNAcentral. Lineage: Bacteria; Pseudomonadati; Pseudomonadota; Betaproteobacteria; Burkholderiales; Sphaerotilaceae.